AGAGUUUGAUCCUGGCUCAGAUUGAACGCUGGCGGCAUGCCUUACACAUGCAAGUCGAACGGCAGCACGGGAGCAAUCCUGGUGGCGAGUGGCGAACGGGUGAGUAAUACAUCGGAACGUGCCCAGUAAUGGGGGAUAGCCCGGCGAAAGCCGGAUUAAUACCGCAUACGACCUACGGGUGAAAGCGGGGGAUCGCAAGACCUCGCGUUAUUGGAGCGGCCGAUGUCAGAUUAGCUUGUUGGUGGGGUAAAAGCCUACCAAGGCGACGAUCUGUAGCUGGUCUGAGAGGACGACCAGCCACACUGGGACUGAGACACGGCCCAGACUCCUACGGGAGGCAGCAGUGGGGAAUUUUGGACAAUGGGCGCAAGCCUGAUCCAGCCAUGCCGCGUGUGGGAAGAAGGCCUUCGGGUUGUAAACCACUUUUGUCAGGGAAGAAACGGUCUAAUCUAAUAAAUCGGACUAAUGACGGUACCUGAAGAAUAAGCACCGGCUAACUACGUGCCAGCAGCCGCGGUAAUACGUAGGGUGCAAGCGUUAAUCGGAAUUACUGGGCGUAAAGCGUGCGCAGGCGGCUAUGCAAGACAGAUGUGAAAUCCCCGGGCUCAACCUGGGAACUGCAUUUGUGACUGCAUGGCUAGAGUACGGUAGAGGGGGAUGGAAUUCCGCGUGUAGCAGUGAAAUGCGUAGAUAUGCGGAGGAACACCGAUGGCGAAGGCAAUCCCCUGGACCUGUACUGACGCUCAUGCACGAAAGCGUGGGGAGCAAACAGGAUUAGAUACCCUGGUAGUCCACGCCCUAAACGAUGUCAACUGGUUGUUGGACGGCUUGCUGUUCAGUAACGAAGCUAACGCGUGAAGUUGACCGCCUGGGGAGUACGGCCGCAAGGUUGAAACUCAAAGGUAUUGACGGGGACCCGCACAAGCGGUGGAUGAUGUGGUUUAAUUCGAUGCAACGCGAAAAACCUUACCUACCCUUGACAUGUCUAGAAUCCUGAAGAGAUUUAGGAGUGCUCGAAAGAGAACUAGAACACAGGUGCUGCAUGGCCGUCGUCAGCUCGUGUCGUGAGAUGUUGGGUUAAGUCCCGCAACGAGCGCAACCCUUAUCAUUAGUUGCUACGCAAGGGCACUCUAAUGAGACUGCCGGUGACAAACCGGAGGAAGGUGGGGAUGACGUCAGGUCAUCAUGGCCCUUAUGGGUAGGGCUACACACGUCAUACAAUGGCCGGUACAGAGGGCUGCCAACCCGCGAGGGGGAGCUAAUCUCAGAAAACCGGUCGUAGUCCGGAUCGCAGUCUGCAACUCGACUGCGUGAAGUCGGAAUCGCUAGUAAUCGCGGAUCAGCUUGCCGCGGUGAAUACGUUCCCGGGUCUUGUACACACCGCCCGUCACACCAUGGGAGCGGGUUCUGCCAGAAGUAGUUAGCCUAACCGCAAGGAGGGCGAUUACCACGGCAGGGUUCGUGACUGGGGUGAAGUCGUAACAAGGUA
RNAcentral lists this ribosomal RNA (1489 nucleotides) under metagenome. RNAcentral's name for it is "bacterial SSU rRNA". It matches the Rfam family "Bacterial small subunit ribosomal RNA". The record is from RNAcentral.